RNAcentral lists this transfer RNA (55 nucleotides) under Galendromus occidentalis (western predatory mite). RNAcentral's name for it is "tRNA-Phe". The record is from RNAcentral. Lineage: Eukaryota; Metazoa; Arthropoda; Arachnida; Mesostigmata; Phytoseiidae.
GUUAUUUAAGUGUAUUUUAAUAGAUUUAAUGAAAGGUAAAGUUAUUAAAAUAAAA